AACGCGAAGAACCUUACCCGGGCUUGAACUACAGAUGGUAAGUCCCUAGAAACAGGGGCUGACCCGCAAGGGAGUCUGCAGAGGUGCUGCAUGGUUGUCGUCAGCUCGUGUCGUGAGAUGUUGGGUUAAGUCCCGCAACGAGCGCAACCCCUAUCCAAUGUUGCUAAUCCCGCAAGGGAUGCACUCUUUGGAAACUGCCUUCGAUAAGAAGGAGGAAGGUGGGGACGACGUCAAAUCCUCAUGGCCCUUAUGUCCGGGGCUACACACGUGUUACAAUGGCCGGUACAGAGGGAAGCAAUACCGCAAGGUGGAGCAAAACUCAAAAAGCCGGCCCAGUUCAAGAUUGUGGGCUGCAACUCGCCCACAUGAAGGCGGAAUCGCUAGUAAUCGCAGAUCAGCAGGCUGCGGUGAAUACGUUCCCGGGCCUUGUACACACCGUACGUC
This 444-nucleotide ribosomal RNA is filed under the name uncultured bacterium. RNAcentral describes it as "bacterial SSU rRNA". It matches the Rfam family "Bacterial small subunit ribosomal RNA", at positions 958 to 1398 of the family's 1533-position model. The record is from RNAcentral.